This 2232-nucleotide long non-coding RNA is filed under the name Felis catus (domestic cat). Its description in RNAcentral is "lncRNA (ENSFCAG00000050267.1)". The record is from RNAcentral. Lineage: Eukaryota; Metazoa; Chordata; Mammalia; Carnivora; Felidae.
GUUCCCAGCAGCCUUGAGACCUCCCCCAGUAUAUGUCUUUUUUUCCUCAAAAAGAAGAGACGAGGAGGAGGAAAAAGUCAGUUGCUUCGACUUGAAAGUCAGUGCUAAAGGAGGCAUUAGAAAAGCCUUUCUUGUGGCUCAGAGCCCUGAUUACCACAAUUAAAGCCCAAGGUGUGGUGCUAUUUGCUCAGCAUGCUCUGACACAUGAAAGCAAAUGAUUCAGGCAAGGAAAAUAAUUAUACAUUAAUUUGUGUUUGGCAACUGUGUUUUAUUCCUUUGGCCCACAAAGCGAAGAUAAAAGGUGAUAUUAUUGAAAGUGUUUUCUCUGCCUUCAGUGGGGUUGCCAUGGGCUGCGUUUGGAGACAGGCGUCUUCGGUGGGGCAUCUUCCUGGGAUCGCGGGGUUGCCUUUUGGGCUCCGAUGCUGUGCUGGGCCAGGAGGAGUGGAGGAAAGAGCAAAUGAAAUAAUGGAAGGAACCCACAUCCAGUGAGAAGAUAGCCCACAAAGGACAAGCCUAAGCCGUCCACAGUUCCCCUGCCUGGGGUACCCACUGAGAAGCCUUGUGGGAAUGUGUAUCCCCCACGUUCAGGCACUUCGGUCCUUCACAAGGCUUGCUUGCCAAUGUUGCAGAUCACAAGGGCAAAAAGGGAACACUUAGUGGCAAAGAGCCCUGGUUUCUAAGGGACGAAACUUGAGUCUAAGCCUCCCUGUGCCACUAAAUAUCUGUGCCAUUUGUUCUUUGGUGCUGAGAUUUCUCUUUUAGACUAGGAAGACAUUCGACAGAAUUUCCAGAAGUGCGGAGCAUGGACACUUUUGACUAAAAGAAAUUUUUUUUGAUGUUUAUUUAUUUUUGAGAGAGAGAGAGAGAGAGAGAGAGAGCGCAAGCAGGGGAAGGGCAGAGACAGAGGGAGACACAGAAUCCGAAGCAGGCUCCAGGCUCCGAGCUGUCAGCACAGAGCCCGAUGUGGGGCUUGAACCCACAAACCACGACAUCAUGACCUGCACUGAAGUCGGAUGCUCCACCAACGGAGCCACCCAGGGGCCCCUGAAUUUCUUUUUUUAAUUGAAGUACAGUUGAUGCACAAUUUUCUAUUAGUUUCAGUUGUACGAUACUGUGAUCUGACAAGCACUUUAACUUUCUAUUCACAAGUUCUGGUCGUUGGUUAGAAAUACAUGGAAUAGAACAGACGCAUGUAUUAGAAAAAUCUACACCCAGCAAAUCAAAUUCGUGAUUUGAUGAAUAUAUAUUGAAAAGCAUUCAUCGGAGGUAAAAAGCGAGUUGAUUUAGAGUAAACUGUAAGUCAAGAGCAUUGCGGAGUGGCCCGCGAUGACUGGUGGACCACACGUGGAAAAUGUUGGACGAGAUUUUCUCUGGAUUUUUCCCAGCUCUACGAUUCCCUGAAGGGACCGGGCAGCCCUGUGCACCGGCUCCAACAGCGCUCAUAACACGGCCCCCAGCUGUUCACCAAACGGUCCGUGUUGUCCAAAACUUUCUCUCUGCACCCCAGGCGAGAACCGCCCUCGGGCCGCGUAGUGGCAGAUCCCUGUGAAUGAGAAUGGUCCAGGAAGCCUUUUCAAACUCUUUCAGGUCCUGUAGGCAUUUAUUGAGCACUUGCUGUGUGCCAGCUGACGUGUCAGGCAUGAUGUGCUCAUGAACUGUCUCUUUUAAUCCUGUGGCAACCCUGUGACAUUUUAAGUGCACCCUGGUUACCGGAGGUGGGGGGGAGGGGGGUCUUCGGCCAGGCAUGUAGCUACCAAAGCCCAUUUAAUCCUCAGUGUAGUGAAGAUAAUGACAUCUGCCUGGUGCACCUCACUGGAUUAGCAUCGGGAUUAAAAGAGAUUGUGUAUGUAAAGUAUCUUGGAAAAUAUAAGGUCCUGCACAACGAAAAAGAAAGAAGAAAAAGAACGCCAGAAAGUUCUCUGUCUCUGCGUCCUCUGCUCUCUAACAAAAUUCAUCCUGUGCCAUUAGAUUAUUGGUGAGGACCUAAGAUGUCACUUAAAUUGUCACAGGUCGGGGUGCCUGGGUGGCGCAGUCGGUUAAGCGUCCGGCUUCAGCCAGGUCACGAUCUCGCGGUCCGGGAGUUCGAGCCCCGCGUCGGGCUCUGGGCUGAUGGCUCAGAGCCUGGAGCCUGUUUCCGAUUCUGUGUCUCCCUCUCUCUCUGCCCCUCCCCCGUUCAUGCUCUGUCUCUCUCUGUCCCAAAAAUAAAUAAACGUUGAAAAAGAAAAAUUGUCA